ACAAUCUCCAGCACUUUGCAAAGAGAUCCCCAAGUUUGCUCUUUCACCCACAGUAAAGACACUCCCACACUUUGUCUACAAACGAGCUUCUUUUCACCAGGGCAGCCUGGGCGUGGAGAGGUGAGAAAAUACGCAGGAAACACUUAUUUCUCUAUGAAAAUAUGAGUCUGAAGAAAGUCAAGAGACUCUACAAACAUUUCUGCAGCCCUCUAUUGGAGAUUUGCAAAGGUCUGCAUGUGCACCCCUUUGGAUGUCAAGGGCUUACUGAAUACCAUUUCCACACGGUCUAUCGCUAUGUCAAAGGGCAACUGCUCCACCAUCAUUUCUGAUCCACAGACCUGUUAGAUGUUAGUCUGGAGAAGGAGAAAUAAAACUCAAUGUUGUUAAUUGCACUCCAAAUAGUCCCACGAUUUUUUCUAACUUUUUAUUGUAGUAAAAUAUAUAUAACAAAUGUUGCCACUUUAAUCA
Molecule: long non-coding RNA, 468 nt
Filed under: Homo sapiens (human)
Lineage: Eukaryota; Metazoa; Chordata; Mammalia; Primates; Hominidae
Description: HSALNT0393152
Source: RNAcentral